This is a non-coding RNA of Dermatophagoides pteronyssinus (European house dust mite), 74 nucleotides long. The record is from the annotation of a RefSeq genome assembly. Lineage: Eukaryota; Metazoa; Arthropoda; Arachnida; Sarcoptiformes; Pyroglyphidae.
GCUCCGUUAGCUCAGUCGGCCAGAGCGUCGGCCUUAUGUGCCGAAGGUCGUGGGUUCGAGCCCCACAUGGAGCU